Molecule: long non-coding RNA, 1366 nt
Organism: Solenopsis invicta (red fire ant)
Lineage: Eukaryota; Metazoa; Arthropoda; Insecta; Hymenoptera; Formicidae
Exons: 5
Source: RefSeq, a predicted model, not a curated record
UGUAGAUUCGAUGGCUGUAUGUAGCACGGGCGCGGCGCGCGGCGCGGCGUCGAUCCUGACGCGUAAAGUUGACCGCGCGCGCGGAAACGAAGCCGGCUCGCCAUCUUGUCUCGUAUUCACGUCUGAUUGCAGAACGCGGCGGGCGCGGGACGAAUCGGAACCUGAGCGAGUGGCGUCGCAGCUUGUUUAAUAGAAUGCGCUGGACACUUUUACAAGACACGGGACGAAAUGAUUCCGGAAUGAAUGGUAUCGCGAUUUUAAUUGGUAAACGACACUUAUGUUAAUAUUAUGCUUUAUAUGAUAUCUAAUAUAUUGAAAAAAAAGAAGUGGCAUUCGUACGCUGAUAAUUUGCUCGAACGCGUAUUUCGUAAUACUUAUUGGAACGAAGAUCGAAAUGUAUACUGCCGUCGCGACGCUCGUCAAGUUAACUUCAGAAAACGAAGAGAUUGUAUUAAUUGUAUUCACGUUUAUAUUACGUGGCGGAUGCGAGACAGAUCUGCUUCGAAACGAAUAGCAUCGCAACUGACAACUUGUGAGAAGAAGGAAGAAAAGAGAUUAAAUUAACAAUUUCAAAGCCGGAGAAGAAAGCUUAGGAGAGCCAUCGGUGGAGCAACAUAGUGAUUCAUUGUAGCUACGUUGCUGACAACUCCAUUGUUGCGCAUCGGACAGUAGAUAUUCUCCGAAAUGGAAAUCGACGAGAGGAAGACAAAUCAUCCAUUGUCGCCGAAUUAUAAAAGAAACGAACCGCAGUCUGUUCGUCGCGUCGCACGUUUUAAUAUUUUGCGAGUGCCGUUUAAGUUAUUGAAGUUAGACUCUUGUAAAUGAUAGUCCGCGGGCGAUUUUAGUAUAGUGUCGCGAGUGUUUUUCGCGAGUGUGCAACAGAAGAAAGAGAAGAAGGAAGAGGUUUGCCUAUUCAAGUAUUCUGAGAGGAGGAGAUGGCCUGGGAGAGGCAUCGGGCCUCAGCGGAGCAACCUUGGGUAUCAUCGCAGCUUCGUGGCUGAUUAACUCCGCUCGUUGCGCAUCAGGUCGGUGAGUCAAAAUCAUCAAUUUUUUAAUUUCUGCUUUCAAUGUUGUGCAAUGUUUUGUGAAAGAUCAAAGAGAGGAACACUGAAAAAGAAGUUUGAUAAUAGCUUCAAUGAUGGGUGAAAUAAAACUAAAUAAUUAAAUAUUUGAUUAAUAUAAUCAAAAAUUUUACUUUUCUAAACAUUUUGUAAAUUACUAAAUUUGAUAAUACUUGCUAAAUAUUCAAAGGAGUAAAAAUAUUUUUGGUCAUAUUAAUUACACAAAUGUUUAAUUGGUAUUAUCAUUUUACUCAACAUAUCUUUCAUAACUAUUGUCAAACUCUUUUUCAGUAGACCCAGACAAG